Gorilla gorilla gorilla (western lowland gorilla) is the source of this 3404-nucleotide long non-coding RNA. RefSeq lists it as uncharacterized. NCBI's taxonomy places the organism in Eukaryota, Metazoa, Chordata, Mammalia, Primates, Hominidae. The record is from RefSeq and is a predicted model, not a curated record. The transcript is spliced from 3 exons.
ACAAAGGAGCAAGCCUCUGCCACCCUUGCUAGGAGAACAAGCUGUGAAUUACUAAUGGGCAGGCGUGCAGGCACAGUGAGUGUAUUAUGGCCAAGUCAGAAUAGUGAAUGCAACAGCCAUGGGGCCUGGACCCAUUCGCACCCAGCACAGUGAAUUCACUGCGGGGAAAUCCACCAAAUCUCCCUCCUGCCAACGUUUUCAAGAGUCUCACUCUGUCACCCAGGCUGGAGUGCAGUGGCGUGAUCUCGGCUCACUGCAACCUCCACCUCCCAGGUUCAAGCGAUUCUCCUGCUUCAGCCUCCUGAGUAGCUAGGAUUACAGGUGCACGCCACCACACCCAGACUCUCCCUCCAGAUGCUGGAUGACAUGAUGAGCCUGGCUGGGAGCCCACUCUCUGCUCCAUCGGCCCACCCUCCCUUUGUGUUGUCUGUGGGUGGAGUAAGCUGUUGCCAACUGUGGCCAAAUGAAAAGCCCGAUGCCCUCCCUUCUCUCUAAAAGCUAUUUAUUGUUUUCCGAGGAGCCAGCCAUCAAAGAGAUCUCCUGUGCCCCACGCACUCCUCCCAACUCCCAGUUUUUGACUGAAAAAAUGCUAACAUCCGACCAGAUACCAGAAAAACAUCCUGAAAGACAAUGCCUGGACUCUUAUUUCCUAGGGAGCAGGACCAGGGCUUAUUACCACAGCAGCCUAUCUUGUUUUUACUGCUGUGAUGUUGCUGACAACAUAGCUGAAAUCUCCAACAUCUCCUUGUUCCUACCAGCACUGAUUGGUUAUAUUUAAGCCUUCGUCCAGACCCACUUAUUCUCAGUUUCUUCUCAUUUUCUUCCCUGGCUCAGCGUGGUGCCAAGAAUUCUCUGGCUUUACACCCUGGAAGUGUGUUAUGAUGAGAUUCAAGAAACAAAAUGUGUGCAGAGAAGAUGCAAAUGGGUCAUGUUGAUCUCCCAGCAGGGGUUAUUCAGAUAAUCCAGAAUAUUCUUAUGUAAAUUUUUUAAUAUUAUCAACAAAAUGAAAGAAAAAAUUUAAAAAAUUAUUGCAAAGAAGCAUGAUAUCCAAGAACACAUCUAAAGACCCCAGUUUGAGUGAAACGGGUAUGGGGCACGGGGAGGAAGAAUGGAGGCAACUGACACAGGAAGAGACAUUGUCUUUCUUCUGAAGGCAAGGAGGAGUGCUAACCCUCACAAUGUGGUUUACAUUACUCAGCAUUUUCUUUCUGUCUCUCUCCCUCCUUCCUUCCCUCUCCCUGUCUCUCUCUCUCCCUUCUUUCAUUCUUUCUGAGACAGAGUCUCACUGUGUUGCUCAAGCUGGAGUGCAGUGGCAUGAUCUCAGCUCACUGCAGCCUCCACCUCCCAGGGUCAAGCAAUCCUCCUACCUCAGCCUCCCAGGUAGCUAGGACUAUAGGCACACGCCACCAUGCUCUGCUAAUUUUUGUAUCUUUUUUCGUAGAGAUGGGGUCUUGCCAUGUUGCCCAAGCUGGUCUCCAACUCCUGAGCUCAAGUGAUCCACCUGCCUCAGCCUCCCAAAGUGCUGGAAUUACAGGCGUGAGCCACCAUGCCCAGCCAUGCAUUUUCUUUGUAUACAUAUUUAGAAAGGCUUUAAAUCCUAGACUCAUAAUUGCCCUAAAUUUUACUCUAAAUUUUUUAAUUUUAUUAUUAUUAUACUUUAAGUUUUAGAGUACAUGUGCAUGACGUGCAGGUUUGUUACAUAUGUAUACAUGUGCCAUGCUGGUAUGCUGCACCCAUUAACUUGUCAUUUAGCAUUAGGUAUAUCUCCUAAUGCUAUCCCUCCCCCCUUCCCCCUACACCACAACAGUCCCCAGUGUGUGAUGUUCCCCUUCCUGUGUCCAUGCGUUCUCAUUGUUCAAUUCCUACCUAUGAGUGAGAACAUGCAGUGUUUGUUUUUUUGUCCUUGCGAUAGUUUGCUGAGAAUGAUGGUUUCCAGUUUCAUCCAUGUCCCUACAAAGGACAUGAACUCAUCCUUUUUUAUGGCUGCAUAGUAUUCCAUGGUGUAUAUGUGCCACAUUUUCUUAAUCCAGUCUAUCGCUGUUGGACAUUUAGGUUGGUUCCAAGUCUUUGCUAUUGUGAAUAGUGCCGCUAUAAACAUACGUGUGCAUGUGUCUUUAUAGCAGCAUGAUUUAUGAUUCUUUGGGUAUAUACAUCCCAGUAAUGGGAUGGCUGGGUCAAAUGGUAUUUCUAGUUCUAGAUCCCUGAGGAAUCGCCACACUGACUUCCACAAUGGUUAAACUAGUUUACAGUCCCACCAACAGUGUAAAAGUGUUCCUAUUUCUCCACAUCCUCUCCAGCACUCUAAAUUUCUUAAUGUGGCCAACAAGGCCCUCCAUGGUCUGCCUCAUCUCCCAUCAUCAUCUCUCCUCCUAACCUCCUUCCCACUCCCUCGCCUCUGACCGCCACAUCUUACCCACCUGCCCUCCAUGCUCCAAGUUUUAUACUCUUUCCCACUUGUAGGUACUUCCUUCAAACACUUCUGUCUUUCUGGAAUUUCCUUAUAUCCUUCUAUGCCCUUCCUUACCCAGGGAACUUUCAAAUAUGAGCUUGAGUUUCCUCCUCCUUGACACCAUACUUCUGUUAGCAAGGCACUUGCUAACAGACUUUAAUAUUUUAUUAAGAUUGCUUAUUUAAUUGUCUUCCCUAAGAUUAAAAGAUCUAUGGGAUAUAGAGAUUUUAUCUAUUUUGCUCACAAUCUUAUCUCCAUCAUCUGCCUAGCAGGGACCAUAAACAUAGUAGAUGCUUAUAACAAAACAGUUGGAAGAAAGGAACAGGGCAGAGGAGUCAAGAAACAGAGUGUUCGACAAAUGAUAAUUACUGUUGUAAGAAACAGUACCUUUGCUAUUUCCGAUCUCAAAGACAGGAUAUGUUUAUGGGAUCUGGGAUGGACUGAGUCUGGAGGUAAAACCUGAAUCAAUUUCAGCACCUGAAAAUACAGUCAUCAGCAUGUUUCUAUUAGCCUCGAAGGGAUCAACUACACUGUUCAAGGGGGCCACUGCUCCUGAAAGACCCAGCAGGGGACAGGGGCAUGAAAAAAUUUGUCCCUGUGUGGGUACAUACACUUACAAAUGUCUACUCCCUUUUUAAAAAAUGCGUUUGUUGGGCUGGGCGCAGUGGCUCAUGCUUGUAAUCCCAGCACUUAGGAAGGCCCAGGUGGUGGGUGGAUCACUUGAGGUCAAGAGUUCAAGACAAGCCUGGCCAACGUGCCAAACCCCGUCUCUACUAAAAAUACAAAAAAUUAGCCAGGCUUGGUGGCACACGCCUGUAACCUCAGCUACUUGAGAGGCUGAGGCAUGAGAGUCGACUGAACCCAGGAGGCAGAGGUUGCAGUGAGCUGAGAUCGUGCCACUGCACUCCAGGCUGGGCAAGAAAGAAGACUCUGUCUCCAAAAAUAAAUAAAUAAA